GAACGCACCUUGCGCCCUUUGGCUAUUCCGAAGGGCAUGCCUGUUUGAGUAUCAUGAACACCUCAACUCUCAUGGUUUGCCGUGAUGAGCUUGGACUUUGGGGGUCUUGCUGGCCUACGGUCAGCUCCCCUAAAAUGAAUCAGCUUGCCAGUGUUUGGUGGGAUCACAGGUGUGAUAACUAUCUACGCUUGUGGCCUUCCACCAAUUAACUUCCAGCAAUGGAGGUUCGCUGGGGCUCACAAAUGUCUCUCCUCAGUGAGGACAGCUUUUUAAUGUUUGAUCUCAAAUCAGGUAGGACUACCCGCUGAACUUAAG
RNAcentral lists this unclassified non-coding RNA (315 nucleotides) under Tomentella punicea. Its description in RNAcentral is "sequence contains 5.8S rRNA gene". Lineage: Eukaryota; Fungi; Basidiomycota; Agaricomycetes; Thelephorales; Thelephoraceae. The record is from RNAcentral.